CGGAAGCCUGCCGAGUGGGCGGCCUUGGCCCUGGGGAGGAGGCGUGAGGCAGCGGAUGGUGGCCAGCACCUCCGCCCCCGCUGCCCUGGGCCCAGAGCCCGUCUCCCCGGCUCCGUGGGCACAGGCAGCGCUGGUCCAGCCGAGAAGAGUGCCGAGAGGCGAGGAGCUGCAGGGGUGCCGUACCAGCAGUGUGAUCCAAGAACCACCUGCAUCAGAAUAACCUGGUUUUUAAGGGCAGAUUGCUGGGGCCCUUUCAGACCUAGCAAUCAGAAACCCUCAAGCUGGAGCUCAGAUGCUACGCUGACAGGCUCUCUGUUGAUUUCCUGUUAACACCAAAGCUUAAGAACUGCGGCUCAUCCUUGGAUUAAGGGAGAAAGCAAAAUAGUGUGAGGAGGGGGAAGGGGGGACAGACCUUGAGAGGGUCUCCAUGCUCCUGGGACAACGCCUCUGGGAGCGCCGUUCCCAUCUUACAGAUGAGAAGACUGAGGAGAGCGCCCAGAACUUGCCCCACAUCUUCAUAUUAUCAUGCUCAGAAGCCCAGAAUCAGAAACCCCAUCCCUCGGACUCUCAAGGGCAUCUUUCUAGGGGGAAAUAACAUAACAAAGGCUCUGGAGUGGAAAUGAGAGCCACUGGUCCUGGGACACUUCUACCCUGGGGGCUGACACACCCGUCCAACAUCCCGCUGAGGAGGAAUGUCAGUCGGUGAUGGAGGAGGCGUAGCAGCCCACGACAGAGGGAGCGUCCUGAAAACGAGCAGAGGGGCUUCCAUGCAGGACUUCUCCCGCUCAGCCCAAACAGCUACUCUGCCACUCCUGCCCACUCCGUGUGUAAUGGUUAAGAGUUCAUGGUGGGGACACUGGGACAUGUGUGAGAGACAGAGGUAUCUUGAUAAGUAUUUUCCUUCUGCAUUGCUGCAGACGCCUUCAUGUUUUAUGUGGCUAUGUUUGGUAGUCCCUGCUGCCCUGGUAUUUUCCAUCAGAGGAAAUGUACUGGCUCUGUUAUGGCCAUAUCACCUUGGCCGCCAGCAUCACACAGGUGUUUGCGAUAGCACCCUGACCUCCUGACCUGCCGUGCUUACAGAGAAAGCACCAGCCUAGCAGCCCACACGAGGCGGUGUGACAACAAGCCUGUGUCGCCGCUGUGUGUGUGCACGGAUUCCAGCACAUUCCUCCCGUGUCUCGAGAGGCCCCUGUAUACCAAGCAGGACAGCCAGGUGGUGCAUCACCCCACCCCCUCUGGUUGACCUUCAAGGCCCUUCCGUGGGGCCUGCCCUCCUGCCCAGGGGCCCACCUGCCUGGUUGGCAGCUGCGUGGUCAACGGCAUCACAUGCCUUCAAGCGGACGGCUGGGCUGGUGCCUCAGGCCACUCUCGCCAGCCUGGACCGUUCACCUCGCCAGCCCCCUGUUUCUUCAGCUUUUCGGGGAAUAUGAUGCCACCGAAAGGGAUAAAGGAACACCUUUCCUCCACCCCACAAAAAUAUAAGGCCCAAAGGACAGAAAUCAAGGCUCACAGAAUGAAGCAGGGGGUCCCAGUGGAGGAAAGUGCUGAAUAGGCUUCUGAUAAAUGGCUCUGCUCCUUUCUCAUCUGCCUUCAGCCUUCUAACAGCACCUACUGCUGCUCUAACUGCUCCCUCUUCCUGUCUCUUCAGAUUAAACAGCCCCCGCCCGUGCCCCAAAAUUAAAUGUCUCCAGAUCUGGAUUCUUGUGCAGACCAGAGUCCCCCAUCUCCAAAUGCAUCCUGAGGAUUUCCAGCUGCCUGUCCAGACAUCUCAAACUCAGUGUCAUAGGUCUUCAACUGCUUUUACUUUACACUGUCAUUAAACUUUUAUUAAAGUGCGAUGAUAGACAUUAAAGGGUACAUAUUGUAAAUAUACGAUAUGUACUUUUCACAAACUAACACACCCAGGUAGCCAGCAGAUUGAGCAUUUCAGAAGUCCCCCUGAUCCCCCCUCCUGUGGUGACUGGUACCCUGACUUCUCUCAGUUUUAGCCUAUUUUGAACUUCGCAUAAGUGGGAUCACACAGUCUGUACUGUUCUGUGCCUGGCUGCUUUUUGUUCAACAUUACGAGAUGCAUUCAUAGCUCUGAGUGAAGUUGUAGGUCAUCCCCUCACUUUCUCUGCAACGGAAUCAUUAUCUACUCUGCCGGCGAUGGGCAAUUGACUUGUUGCCUGUUUUUCGGCUGUUAGGAGUAGAGUUGCGUUGAACUCUGUGGCACUGGUCCCUCAGUGUGGCCGUGUGCACACAUUUCUUUUGUGCACGUUCCUAAGGAGGGAUUUUUGGACACACACUUUCAGUAGGUAGUUAUCCACUCCUGUAGAUGCUGCCAGGAAGUAUCCAUGUGCGUCGCCCACCCGCAUCAUGAGUUCUGGCUCCUCCGCUCUCUAACGCUUAAUGUCACUUUUGAUUCAUCCAUCCUUCACCCCGAGCUUAUCUCUUCUUCUUCUCCAAUUAUCUCACAUUUGUGGCCUUUCUCCUUUGAUGCUGUUCUGCGGCAGGCACCAUGAACUUGUGCAGAGCCUUCCCAGGACCCGUACCUGCACAGUCUCCCUACAAGUCUGUCUCAUCAUCGCACCUUGUGGUCCACGAAAGUACAGUCGCUCCUGAUCUCCAAUUACUUUGGAGCUUACCUGUUUAUUUAUCUGGUUAUUGACACCCUGCAGACCUCGCCAAUGACCAAGCAAACCUCAUCUUUCCCUUAGGCCACGGUGCUUCCUCCCUCGCGUCAUUCUCCAAUGCCUCCGUCCUUAGCUUGUGUGGCAGGAAAUCUGUCUACUCUGUUAGCAUUUCUACAACAAACCCCAAAGCUGGAGAGUUACUGCUGGCAGAGACUACGAGAGACUGUCCCAACGCCCUUGUUUCCAAAGAAUCCCCAAGAAACUUAAGAAAAAGAACUUAAGGCAAAAGUCCUAGUGACUUGUCACAACUUUCUUAAAGUGACAAGUAUCACUUCUUAUUUGCUGGUAACUUUUAUUUGAUCUGAAAGCCAGCAGAGCUUUGGAAAUUAACUGGGUGGAGAGGAGAGGGAAUAACAAAAAGAAAUUGCAAGUUGGCUUUGAUUUUAAAACUGCUUCUCAGUGAGAGAAAUGUUCUCAUCAGCUACUGUUCUCAAACAUCUGCCAUGUUUAAAGAGGUUUUGACCGGUAGAAAGUUUCAUUACAGAGAAGCAUAGAAAUACAUGCAAGGGAAAUAGCAGGCAAAUUUGGCUUACUCCUCCCAAAUUUUAAGAAAGCAAAUAAAACUGAGUGCUUAAUGUUUGCUUACAGUUUGCUACAUUUAUUACUUGAGUGUAUACUUUACACAUGGGACCCCAAUACACUCUAAUACUGCCCAUAUUUAAAGCUUUGAGCAUAAUUUUGCUGUUUUAUAUGGUUAAUAGAUUCAUAAUUCUAUCUUUUCUUUCAUAAUGUAGUAUUAUCUUACCUCUGCUUUCUUUGAUGCUGGGUCCUUCGGUAGGGACCCAUUGCCAAGUAUUGUAUCACAAAGAAGCCAAUGUCAGAGUGCCUGUCAAUAUAGAUGCCUGAUACAAACAUGAAGGAGCGCCGCUUUCUCUGUGGAGCCGAGUGGGGUGGACUCAUGGCCUGUGAUUCACAGCACACACCCUCCAGUGCAAUCGCGAGGCUACUCACAGCCCACAAGCAGACUGAGCCUCUGUUGACUGACACUCAAGUGUCUUCCUAAAAGGCCAUUCCCUCUUUUCCAGCCUUCACUAAUGCCGCUCAAACUUGUGAAGGGCCUCAGGAGGCCCAUACCUUCAGUAAAACUCCCUCUGCCUACUCCAGACACCACUGGUAUUACCCAAAUUCUUUUAGCCCUAAAUUGUGUCCACUCAGUUUAGCACUUAAUUGCACAGCAUCUCACAUCAUGUUAGUGUUACUCACUCAGUCGUGUCCAACUCUUUGCAACUCCAUAGACUGUUAGGGCCUCCAGGCACUUCUGUCCAUGGAAUUCUCCAGGCAAGAAUACUGGAGUGGGUUGCCAUGCCCUUCUCCAGGGGAUCCUCCUGACCCAGGGAUCAAACCCAGGUCUCCUGCAUUGCAGACAAAUUCUUUACCAUUUGAGCUACCCAGAAAACACACAUCAUGUUAGAGGGCCUUAAAACCUGCCAGUUCUUGGUUAAACUUGACAGGUAUUCUGACCCUCCCUGGAAGAUCGCAUGAUAGGCUCCCCCGUAGGCCAAUGAUAUUACAAAUCCUUUCUUGCUAAGGAAAAUGCCAUUCUACCCAUGGCAUGACCAGUGAUCAGACACAGCCUUGACCCUGACACUAAUGCUCCCUUGUGUCUUAUUGCUGCAGAAGGAUGUGAGAACCACACUUCACACCAUGCCCAAGAGUCCUAGGGACUCUUUGAUCAGUAGUAUGAUGGGAACGUAGCUCGCAUGGCAGAGCCCCUGACAUCUGGGCACAUGCAGGCAACCCUUGCUCAUGGGCUCCUGCCACAAACCCAUCAAUCUAAGGCACCCGCACCCAGCACUCCAGCUUGGUUGGAGUGGGGAGGCUCAGAGCAUGGCCUAUAGCCUGAGAGAAGAUGCUGAGUCCAGGACAGCUGGAAGGAAGUGAAUUGGCCAAGACAUCAUGAAUUUACAGCCUAUGACCUGGGGUGCAGAGGGAGGAGGAGCCAGCCGUACCCCACAUCCAGCCUUUGGAGAGCCCAGCCUUCCUGGGUUUGGAUUGAACCAGGUUUUGGCAGCUGGAGUUGGGACUGUCCUAUCUCGUCCAUACUGAUCUCCACCAAGGAGGCCCUGAAGACACAGCUUCCUGCCUGUUUACCCACAGUCAGGAUGACUCAGGUGCUCCAAGAGCUGGCCAGCCUACACAGCUGGAGUGGGAGCUCGUCCUCUCCCAUUUCAGGAAAGUCUUAGAGGAAAAGCAAAGCCCCUAGUCACAGAGGUUGACCUGCAAGCUGGAGUUCUGGGUUCGGGUGCCUUAGAUUGAUGGGUUUGUGACAGGAGCCCAUGAGCAAGGGCUGCCUGCGUGUGUCCAGAUGUCAGGGGCUCUGCCACGUGAGCUACGUGUCCCAGGACGUAGCUCUGAGGACGUAACUGGGGCAGGUCUACCCCGACUCCUCUGCCACACCAAAGACACACACACCCAUCUCAGUACAGCGCUGUGCAAGAGCUCGCCUUGGCCCUGGAAGGCCCCAGAGUCCCAGAUCGUUCACCGACUCAUUCGUCUACACACUCAACAAACAGCUUGUGAGGAUGUCUGUGAGCCAGGCUCCGAGCCCAGAACUGGAACCACAGCGUGAACAAGACCGGCUCAACUCUGCCCAGGAAGAUUGCAGUCCAGUGGGCAAACUCAAUGAAGCAAAUACUCACAAAACCAUGUAAUUUCAAACAGCCAACACUGUAAGAGAAGAGAGAAACCCUCUGGGAGAUGUAUCCAGUGGCUCUAGCCUUGGCCUGAAAGGCACCUUCCCUCAGACCGUGAGUCUUCACGGGGAUGACAAGCGUGCUGUGAAAGGGGUAGUUAACAUGCCUACUGUGGGAGCCUAAGAAAAUAUGAUUCCACACAGGGCUCUUGCCUUCGGGCCAAAGGAGUUGCAGACCCGAGUGGGAUGAGGGAAAUCACUGCAGGGGCCUUAGUAUAAAAGGCCAAGAAAUCCAAGAUGGAGGGUGGAGAAAUGGUGGCCACCAAGGAAAAUGCUAGGGC
Bos taurus (domestic cattle) is the source of this 5648-nucleotide long non-coding RNA. NCBI's taxonomy places the organism in Eukaryota, Metazoa, Chordata, Mammalia, Artiodactyla, Bovidae. The record is from Ensembl.